GGGUUUAGCCUAUCUCUUUCCGCAUCAGGCGGUUUUCUUCUCCUUCUUCAGACAAGGGAAGGCCACCAUCCCCAAUUCCAGUCAAUGGGUUUCUCUUCUGCUCUAUUGGGUUGGGUUGUAGAUAAUUUUGUCUAGUGGGCAAUAAUAGUGAAGGGUGAGAGAUAUCUUGGUUAUCGAACUAUAGUGUUUCUUUGCUUGCAGUUUGGGUGUGAAUCUUGAAUUAUUGGGAGAGUGAGCUUGAUUAGUAUUAGUUGGUCUCGAGGAAGAGAUACCUUGAGUGUUCAACGUUGGCUACCUGCCAAAGACCGUCCACCCUUUCGACUAAAAGAGAAUGAGAUGCCUUAGGCUUUCUCUCUUCUCCUUCUCUAUUUUAUUCUCCCAUGUGUUGUCGUUGCAAUAUGGAGCAUAGUCUAGUACUUUCCCUAUUUGAUGAAGGCUUGUCGGAUCAUUCAAAAUAUGUGUGGUUUAAUUGUGCGAGGGACCUCUAAAUUUCAUGCGAAGCUC
Molecule: unclassified non-coding RNA, 504 nt
Filed under: Hevea brasiliensis (rubber tree)
Lineage: Eukaryota; Viridiplantae; Streptophyta; Magnoliopsida; Malpighiales; Euphorbiaceae
Source: RNAcentral